GACAGAGGGUGCAAACGUUGUUCGGAAUUACUGGGCGUAAAGCGAGUGUAGGCGGUUUCCUAAGUCGGAUGUGAAAGCCCCGGGCUCAACCCGGGAAGUGCACUCGAAACUGGGAGGCUAGAGUAUCGGAGAGGUUGGUGGAAUUCUCGGUGUAGAGGUGAAAUUCGUAGAUAUCGAGAGGAACACCGGUGGCGAAGGCGGCCAACUGGACGAAUACUGACGCUGAGACUCGAAAGCGUGGGGAGCAAACAGG
Molecule: ribosomal RNA, 253 nt
Filed under: uncultured bacterium
Lineage: Bacteria
Also listed under: 1 other name
Description: partial 16S ribosomal RNA
Rfam family: Bacterial small subunit ribosomal RNA
Source: RNAcentral